Molecule: transfer RNA, 89 nt
Filed under: Dreissena polymorpha
Lineage: Eukaryota; Metazoa; Mollusca; Bivalvia; Myida; Dreissenidae
Rfam family: tRNA
About the family: Transfer RNA (tRNA) molecules are approximately 80 nucleotides in length. Their secondary structure includes four short double-helical elements and three loops (D, anti-codon, and T loops).
Source: Rfam by way of RNAcentral
GCCGGAAUAGCUCAGUUGGGAGAGCGUUUGACUGCAGUUGUUUACGCAACAAUCAUGUAAGGCCUCCGGUUCAAUCCCGGUUUCCGGCA